CACGCCGCGUUGAGUGAAUGAAGGUAUUUCGGAUAUGUAAAACUCUGUUGUUAAAGAAGAACAAGGAUAGGAGAGUAACUGCUCAUCCCCUGACGGUAUUUAACCAGAAAGCCACGGCUAACUACGUGCCAGCAGCCGCGGUAAUACGUAGGUGGCAAGCGUUGUCCGGAUUUAUUGGGCGUAAAGCGAGCGCAGGCGGUUCUUUAAGUCUGAUGUGAAAGCCCCCGGCUCAACCGGGGAGGGUCAUUGGAAACUGGAGAACUUGAGUGCAGAAGAGGAGAGUGGAAUUCCACGUGUAGCGGUGAAAUGCGUAGAUAUGUGGAGGAACACCAGUGGCGAAGGCGACACUCUGGUCUGUAACUGACGCUGAGGCUCUAAAGCGUGGGGAGCAAACAGGAUUAAAUACCCUGGUAGUCCACGCCGUAAACUAUGAGUGCUAAGUGUUGGAGGGUUUCCGCCCUUCAGUGCUGCAUCUUACGCAUUAAGCACUUCGCCUGGGGAGUACGGCCGCAAGGCUGAAACUCAAAGGAAUUGACGGUGACCCGCACAAGCGGUGGAGCAUGUGGUUUUAAUUUGAAGCAACGCGAAGAACCUUACCAGGUCUUGAUAUCCUUU
RNAcentral lists this ribosomal RNA (615 nucleotides) under Carnobacterium sp. Ri3Pt_4284. RNAcentral describes it as "bacterial SSU rRNA". It matches the Rfam family "Bacterial small subunit ribosomal RNA", at positions 393 to 992 of the family's 1533-position model. The record is from RNAcentral. Lineage: Bacteria; Bacillati; Bacillota; Bacilli; Lactobacillales; Carnobacteriaceae.